AGUGAACGCUGGCGGUAGGCCUAACACAUGCAAGUCGAACGGAAAGGCCCUGCUUUUGUGGGGUGCUCGAGUGGCGAACGGGUGAGUAACACGUGAGUAACCUGCCCUUGACUUUGGGAUAACUUCAGGAAACUGGGGCUAAUACCGGAUAGGAGCUCCUGCUGCAUGGUGGGGGUUGGAAAGUUUCGGCGGUUGGGGAUGGACUCGCGGCUUAUCAGCUUGUUGGUGGGGUAGUGGCUUACCAAGGCUUUGACGGGUAGCCGGCCUGAGAGGGUGACCGGCCACAUUGGGACUGAGAUACGGCCCAGACUCCUACGGGAGGCAGCAGUGGGGAAUAUUGCACAAUGGGCGGAAGCCUGAUGCAGCAACGCCGCGUGCGGGAUGACGGCCUUCGGGUUGUAAACCGCUUUCGCCUGUGACGAAGCGUGAGUGACGGUAAUGGGUAAAGAAGCACCGGCUAACUACGUG
This 468-nucleotide ribosomal RNA is filed under the name uncultured bacterium. Its description in RNAcentral is "partial 16S ribosomal RNA". It matches the Rfam family "Bacterial small subunit ribosomal RNA", at positions 28 to 507 of the family's 1533-position model. The record is from RNAcentral.